UAGCUCAGUGGUAGAGCACUUGCCUGGCAAGUGCAAAGGCCUGGGUUUGAUCCCCAG
RNAcentral lists this transfer RNA (57 nucleotides) under Mesocricetus auratus (golden hamster). It matches the Rfam family "tRNA", at positions 8 to 63 of the family's 71-position model. Rfam says of the family: Transfer RNA (tRNA) molecules are approximately 80 nucleotides in length. Lineage: Eukaryota; Metazoa; Chordata; Mammalia; Rodentia; Cricetidae. The record is from Rfam by way of RNAcentral.